UAGGGAGGCGUGGACGCAGUGGCGCAAGGCUGACCCUUGGGCAGGCAAUGGGGUGGGUGAAGCGCUGUGCGAUACGUUAUUUGAACCCUGUAUUUGGCUGUAGUCGCUGGUUUUGCCGACUCAGGAUCUCUUGAGGAUGUCUUGGCUCCGAGUCCCAGCUUGCGUAGACUCUGAUAGGGUGGUGAAGGCUGCGCAGACUUGAGAGGUUUGGUCAGAGAGCCUAGAAUUGAAAUGGAAACCUCCCCCAUCUGUCAUGGCCAAGGUCUUAGAGAAUCUGGGGGGCGAAGGGAGUUGGGAGCUGGGAGGUCCAGGUUGUUCUUAUCCUCAGAGGUUGGCCAGUCCUGGGGAACUUAGUGCCAGGGACCACCAUAGGGAUAUUCUGCUGCUUUAUCAAACACACGAAGACAUUAAGAGAUGGAACUGUGAUUGUGGGAAAGGAGAGGGUAGGAGGAAGUCGCAAGUGGCUCCUGGAAAAUCUGAGAAGUACCUGACCUGUGGAUUUGUGCCCAGGGCAUUUUAUUUUAUUAUUUUAUGUGUCCCAGUCAUGACUCAAAAUGAAGUCCUGCCCGCCCGUGACUCAGAGCCCAGUUUCCGUCACAACUGGUUCUGUUAUCACAACUUGAAAUACUGACCAACAGCAAGACACGAAAACUGCUCCUAGACUAUGAUAGCAAAAGCCAAACGUUAUAAAUGUACAUCAUUUUGUAAAAGACUGAAAUGCUGUUGGUUGGGAAUAUUAGUCCUAGCAGUGUGUUUAUUUGGACAGAAUCUUCUCACAGCAAAGCAAGCUGAGGUCCCCUGGAGCAGAUCAUACAGACAUGGUUUCUAUGCUGGGUUUGUUGAUACUGGUGGUAUUUGGCAGAGACCGAAUACCUGGCUUGUAGAAGACAUCAUACCUCACACUCAUCCUGCUCUCACACGUGGAAGGUACACCAUCCUGACCGGUGACUGUGCCUUCUGCCUGCCUGAAGAUAAGGUGGCCACAGGACCAACAGGGACUAUUGGUGACCAGUGCACCCUUGUGCACUGGGAUUAGGGAUUGGCCCUAAUUUGGUUAUUUCAGGCAAAGGUGUAACCAUAAACCUCACCCUGAAUCUAGAAAUUAAGGUUUCCUGAGCAAUUCUUGGAAGGCAGUUCCUGGCAGCACUUAAACCCCCAAGGAAGCAAAGAGAAGCCUGAAACAAAAUCCAGAUGCCUUGCAUGGGACACUCACUUUGUUGUGGAGGUCAGUGCUGCCAAAGAAAAAUGACUUCUCAGGCUUGCCAUGUCUCGUUCCAAAUGGGUGUCCUCAGAAAAGUAAACUUGGUGCCACAAAGAUUAAUGCGCUAUGAAGUAAGAAUAUCCAGGCAUCUUGGAACGUCUGUGUGCCCAUGGGGUGGGAAUGCCUGGUGAGCCCACUUGCUAUGUUGUCCUGAGGGGUCCGGCCACAGCGCUGCCUGAGCAGGGGUGGGUAGGUGGACCUGGGCACCACAGUCCAUGUCCAAGCUCCUUUUGGGUCCCCAUUUGUGUGGCACCCUCUGCACUGGGUUUGGGUAUUUCUGAAUCAGCAUUCCUGAAGAGGUUCUCUAAUUAAACAUGUUAGAAAUCGACAGAAGGAACUGGAGGGAGGGGUGGGGAUGAGAGGACAGAAAGAGAGGAAAGAGAGAGGAAACUAAGACUGGUGGAAUAUCUACUACGCAUCAGACACCUUAU
This is a long non-coding RNA of Equus caballus (horse), 1692 nucleotides long. NCBI's taxonomy places the organism in Eukaryota, Metazoa, Chordata, Mammalia, Perissodactyla, Equidae. The record is from Ensembl.